Molecule: non-coding RNA, 78 nt
Organism: Podarcis lilfordi (Lilford's wall lizard)
Lineage: Eukaryota; Metazoa; Chordata; Lepidosauria; Squamata; Lacertidae
Source: the annotation of a GenBank genome assembly
GCUCUCCGGGUAGCUCAGUUGGUAAGAGCACGGGACUCUUAAUCUCAGGGGUCCUGGGUUCGAGCCCCACGUUGGGCA